AGUGAACGUUGGCGGCGUGGAUUAGGCAUGCAAGUCGAGCGAUCGUAGCAAUACGGGAGCGGCAAACGGGGUAGGAAUACAUCGGAACGUACCUUUUGGUUGAGAAUAGCGUUGGGAAACUGACGGUAAUACUCAAUAAAGUCGAGAGACCAAAGGUUUACUGCCGGAAGAGCGGCCGAUGCGAUAUUAGGUAGUUGGUGGGGUAAUGGCCUACCAAGCCUGAGAUGUCUAGGGGGUGUGAGAGCAUGGCCCCCACCACUGGGACUGAGAUACUGCCCAGACACCUACGGGUGGCUGCAGUCGAGGAUCUUCGUCAAUGGGCGAAAGCCUGAACGAGCGACGCCGCGUGCGGGAUGAAGGCCCUUGGGUUGUAAACCGCUGUCAGGGGGGAUGAAACCGUAAGGUUGACAGAGCCCCAGAGGAAGCACGGGCUAAGUUCGUG
RNAcentral lists this ribosomal RNA (442 nucleotides) under uncultured bacterium. RNAcentral describes it as "bacterial SSU rRNA". It matches the Rfam family "Bacterial small subunit ribosomal RNA", at positions 29 to 507 of the family's 1533-position model. The record is from RNAcentral.